Long non-coding RNA from Dreissena polymorpha, 535 nucleotides. RefSeq lists it as uncharacterized. The record is from RefSeq and is a predicted model, not a curated record. The transcript has 2 exons. Lineage: Eukaryota; Metazoa; Mollusca; Bivalvia; Myida; Dreissenidae.
AACAGCAGACACAAGCACAGGUCCCACUUAACAACACCGGACUCGUCGAUGCCGGAUGAGAGACCCAACACCUUCCGUCUGCAAACAUGCUAUCAGUUGUCAUGGCAACACUUCAUGUUAUUUUGGGACGACACUUUACGCACAUGCAUUAUGCCCAGUUUUCUCAGAACAUUACUCAUAUAUAUAUAUUUGUCUUAUUUCCUAUUUCGCCAUUCCUCUUUCAGGCGCCUUCCUGAUUCCGUAUUUCAUAGCCGUGUUUCUGGGUGGUAUCCCAUCAUUCUUCUUGGAGGUGUCGCUUGGUCAGUUUAUGUCCGAGGGAGGAAUCGGCGUCUGGAAAAUUGCACCUUUGUUUCAAGGUAUCGGUUACGCAAGCGCAGUCAUCGUCUUUAUCCUUAACUGCGAGUACAACAUUAUCCUCACCUGGGCCUAUUACUACCUCUUCGCAUCCUUCACCUCCGUGUUGCCAUGGUCAAACUGCGAAAACGAGUGGAAUACGGAAACGUGUCAUGUGGACCACCGGAAAAUCACGAAUAUG